GACGUAGGAGGCGAGCGUUAUCCGGAUUCACUGGGCGUAAAGCGCAUGUAGGCGGCGGAGUAAGUCGUGUGUUAAAGCCCCUGGCUCAACUGGGGGAGGUCAUGCGAGACUAUUCGGCUAGAGGGCAGCAGAGGCACGUGGAACUCCCGGUGUAGCGGUGGAAUGCGUAGAGAUCGGGAAGAACACCAGUGGCGAAGGCGGCGUGCUGGGCUGCGACUGACGCUGAGAUGCGAAAGUGUGGGGAGCAAACGGG
This 253-nucleotide ribosomal RNA is filed under the name uncultured bacterium. Its description in RNAcentral is "partial 16S ribosomal RNA". It matches the Rfam family "Bacterial small subunit ribosomal RNA", at positions 524 to 776 of the family's 1533-position model. The record is from RNAcentral.